GACGAACGCUGGCGGCGUGCCUAAUACAUGCAAGUUGAGCGAUGAAGCUUGGUGCUUGCACCAAUUUGAAGAGCAGCGAACGGGUGAGUAACGCGUGGGGAAUCUGCCUUUGAGCGGGGGACAACAUUUGGAAACGAAUGCUAAUACCGCAUAACAACUUUAACUAUAAGUUUUAAGUUUGAAAGAUGCAAUUGCAUCACUCAAAGAUGAUCCCGCGUUUUAUUAGCUAGUUGGUGGGGUAAGGGGUCACCAAGGCGAUGAUAGAUAGCCGGCCGGAGAGGGGGGACGGCCGACUUGGGACUGGGGAACGGCCCAAGCCCCUACGGGCGGCAGCAGUAGGGAAUCUUCAGCAAUGGACGAAAGUCUGACCGAGCAACGCGGCGUGAGUGAAGAAGGUUUUCGGCUCGUAAAACUCUGUUGGUAGAGAAGAACGUUGGAGAGAGUUGAAAGCUAAGCAAGUGACGGUAACUGUACAGAAAGCGACGGCUAACUACGUG
This 497-nucleotide ribosomal RNA is filed under the name uncultured bacterium. Its description in RNAcentral is "partial 16S ribosomal RNA". It matches the Rfam family "Bacterial small subunit ribosomal RNA", at positions 28 to 507 of the family's 1533-position model. The record is from RNAcentral.